AUUGAACGCUGGCGGCAUGCCUUACACAUGCAAGUCGAACGGCAGCACGGGGGGUAACCCCUGGUGGCGAGUGGCGAACGGGUGAGUAAUAUAUCGGCACGUGUCCUGUAGCGGGGGAUAACCUAUCGAAAGAUGGACUAAUACCGCAUACGACCUCCGGCUGAAAGCGGAGGCCCGCAAGGCUUCGCCCUAUAGCAGCGGCCGAUAUCGGAUUAGCUAGUUGGCGGGGUAACGGCCCACCAAGGCGACGAUCCGUAGCUGGUCUGAGAGGACGAUCAGCCACACUGGAACUGAGACACGGUCCAGACUCCUACGGGAGGCAGCAGUGGGGAAUUUUGGACAAUGGGCGCAAGCCUGAUCCAGCCAUGCCGCGUGAGUGAAGAAGGCCUUCGGGUUGUAAAGCUCUUUCGGCGGGGACGAAACGGUUCGUGCUAAUACCACGGACUACUGACGGUACCCGCAGAAGAAGCACCGGCUAACUACGUG
RNAcentral lists this ribosomal RNA (486 nucleotides) under uncultured bacterium. Its description in RNAcentral is "partial 16S ribosomal RNA". It matches the Rfam family "Bacterial small subunit ribosomal RNA", at positions 30 to 507 of the family's 1533-position model. The record is from RNAcentral.